Molecule: ribosomal RNA, 253 nt
Filed under: uncultured bacterium
Lineage: Bacteria
Description: partial 16S ribosomal RNA
Rfam family: Bacterial small subunit ribosomal RNA
Source: RNAcentral
UACGAAGGGGGCUAGCGUUGUUCGGAUUUACUGGGCGUAAAGCGCACGUAGGCGGAUUCUUAAGUCAGAGGUGAAAUCCCAAGGCUCAACCUUGGAACUGCCUUUGAUACUGGGGAUCUUGAGUCCGGAAGAGGUGAGUGGAACUGCGAGUGUAGAGGUGAAAUUCGUAGAUAUUCGCAAGAACACCAGUGGCGAAGGCGGCUCACUGGUCCGGUACUGACGCUGAGGUGCGAAAGCGUGAGGAGCAAACAGG